UGGCUGGUAGCUCAGUGGUAGAGCACCUGUAUAUAUUCAGGAUGCCUGUCAGUGGGUUCAAUCCCCAGUCUGGCCAA
Russula brevipes is the source of this 77-nucleotide non-coding RNA. NCBI's taxonomy places the organism in Eukaryota, Fungi, Basidiomycota, Agaricomycetes, Russulales, Russulaceae. The record is from the annotation of a GenBank genome assembly.